Long non-coding RNA from Periophthalmus magnuspinnatus, 460 nucleotides. RefSeq lists it as uncharacterized. Lineage: Eukaryota; Metazoa; Chordata; Actinopteri; Gobiiformes; Gobiidae. The transcript is spliced from 3 exons. The record is from RefSeq and is a predicted model, not a curated record.
ACUGUGAGAAGAGAGGAGCUCAACUGGUCAAAAUCAACAACAGGCGAGAGCAGGCAUUUCUCACUGGACUCACAGCAGCUGCGUGGAUUGGGAUGACCGACAAAGACAAGGAGGGCAUCUGGUUGUGGCUGGACAGGACAUGGGUCAAUAAAAAUGAGCUGCAGUGGGCUCCUGGACAGCCUGAUGACUCUAAUGGAGGUGAAGAUUGUGGCGACAUUCGAAAUCAAAAUAACUUUAUUGGUCUGAAUGAUUCCAACUGUUCAGUUUUGAUGCAGUGCAUUUGUGAGAAACCUCUGAAUGGGCUGUGAAUGAACCAAACAGGGCACAGAUUUGAAGUAGUAGUGUUUAUUUUUGUGUAUAUUCUACAUAGUAUAAAAUACACAGGGGGUGGUAGUCAAAAAUAUCUACUCAAGAAAGAAGAGUAGCCUAUUGUUACUAAUAUUACUCAUGUAGAUGUUGA